RNAcentral lists this ribosomal RNA (258 nucleotides) under uncultured bacterium. RNAcentral describes it as "partial small subunit ribosomal RNA". It matches the Rfam family "Bacterial small subunit ribosomal RNA", at positions 26 to 285 of the family's 1533-position model. The record is from RNAcentral.
AGGACGAACGCUGGCGGCGUGCUUAACACAUGCAAGUCGAGCGGUAAGGCCUCCUUCGGGGGGUACACGAGCGGCGAACGGGUGAGUAACACGUGGGUGACCUGCCCUCAGCUCUGGGAUAAGCCUGGGAAACCGGGUCUAAUACCGGAUAGGACUGCUUGCCGCAUGGUGGGUGGUGGAAAGUUUUUCGGCUGGGGAUGGGCCCGCGGCCUAUCAGCUUGUUGGUGGGGUGAUGGCCUACCAAGGCGGUGACGGGUA